ACCGUUUCUCUUCAUCAAAAUCUAUGUAUGGAUUCCUCCCAUUGGAUGCACGGAAGCAAGCAAGCUCAUCCUUCACACGAGAAAGAAGGACUUCUGUCCGCCUCAGCUUGGUGCUAAGGAUUUUUGUCAUUGUCAUCUGGCUAACAAAAUGUGUGAUGUGGCUGUUUAGUUAGCAUAAGGUGUAUAAUAAUUUGAAAUAUAUGUAUACAUUCUUAUAACUUUUUACAUUAGUUUUACUUAAUUUAUGUUUAUUUAUUCAUUA
Molecule: long non-coding RNA, 262 nt
Organism: Cannabis sativa
Lineage: Eukaryota; Viridiplantae; Streptophyta; Magnoliopsida; Rosales; Cannabaceae
Exons: 2
Source: RefSeq, a predicted model, not a curated record